GAUGAAGAACGUAGCGAAAUGCGAUAAGUAAUGCGAAUUGCAGAAUUCCAGUGAGUCAUCGAAUCUUUGAACGCACAUUGCGCCCUUUGGUAUUCCGAAGGGCAUGCCUGUUCGAGCGUCAUUAUCACCCCUCAAGCCCCCGGCUUGGUGUUGGACGGUUUGGUGGAGGCCCCCUCUGGGGCUCCUGCCCCUCCCAAAGACAAUGACGGCGGCCUCGUUGGACCCCCGGUACACUGAGUUCUUCACGGGACACGUAUCGGACACAUGGGUUUACGGGACACGGUCUGCCUCCCCUCAGGGAGAAUCUUUCUAAGGUUGACCUCGGAUCAGGUAGGGAUACCCGCUGAACUUAAGCAUAUCAAUAAGCGGAGGA
Molecule: unclassified non-coding RNA, 373 nt
Filed under: soil metagenome
Description: partial contains 5.8S ribosomal RNA, internal transcribed spacer 2, and large subunit ribosomal RNA
Rfam family: 5.8S ribosomal RNA (bases 1-121)
Source: RNAcentral